GGUUGUGUAGUGUAGCGGUUAUCACUCCGGAUUCUGAUCAUCCAAAAGUCAUAACUUCCGGCAACCCCGGUUCGAUUCCGGGCACGACCU
The sequence is a transfer RNA, 90 nucleotides long. It matches the Rfam family "tRNA". Rfam says of the family: Transfer RNA (tRNA) molecules are approximately 80 nucleotides in length. Their secondary structure includes four short double-helical elements and three loops (D, anti-codon, and T loops). Further hydrogen bonds mediate the characteristic L-shaped molecular structure. tRNAs have two regions of fundamental functional importance: the anti-codon, which is responsible for specific mRNA codon recognition, and the 3' end, to which the tRNAs corresponding amino acid is attached (by aminoacyl-tRNA synthetases). tRNAs cope with the degeneracy of the genetic code in two manners: having more than one tRNA (with a specific anti-codon) for a particular amino acid; and 'wobble' base-pairing, i.e. permitting non-standard base-pairing at the 3rd anti-codon position. The record is from Rfam.